AUUAACUCUGAUGUACGGAAAACCUGGGAAACACAGCAGGAAGUGGCUGAGGAAAUCACUGCAGAGGAGAAAACUUCACCUCCCAUGAAAGCAGAGUGGAAUUAAUUCUUUCCAGGACAGGUGACCAAAAACCUGGACAAUCCAGGGAAAUCCCAGACAGUUGAACCCACAGCAACGCUUGAUACUGUCCUACACACUGACACUGCCCUACCAAGGAUUUUACUCCCGAGCUCCAGCUGCAGUUAUUGAUGACCACUGCUCCUGUUGCCUAGUAUCUGGGGGUGGGUCACUGGAUCACCAGCUUCUCUGACGCCCUGAGGAAGAUGAAAUCCUCCUUUAGAAUUGGGAAUGGACGUCACCUGAGGUUCUGAAAUGUAUCAUGAUGCCAGUGGAGAUGUUGCUACCUGGUGUCCCAGAAACAGCACCAUCAUUGUGGGAGGAUGCUGUUCUGCCUCUGCCAAUGCUGUACCUCCGUACUACACUGUGGUCACAAUGAGUUCACUGAAGAACCAUUUUUGGUUCCCCAAAGAGCUCACACAUCUCACUUAUAGACAUGGUUCUCCAAAGAAACAUUCACAAUUGGUUCUUCUAUGGCGUUCCUCCAAAGAACCCUUUACGGCACCUUCAUUAUAAGAGAGAGGUUCUGGUGUGAAUGUGGCAGGUUUAUCAUCUGUGACUCUGACUUAAUUGUAACUUGGCUUCACUCAAGGUUUCUUCUUCAUAUCAUAUUAGGAAGGUUUUCCUUUUCACUCUAGUCCUUGGGUUCUGUUGGGUCAUGACCUGUAAAGCUGCUACAUGAAACUGUCUAUUGGAAAAAGCACAAUAUAAAUAAAACUGAUUUCUUUGCCGAUGUCUUUUUAAAGCCUAAUCUGGUUGAGCUCUUAUUAUUCCUCUCACAGCUCUUUCAUGGCAGUUUCUGGGGU
This is a long non-coding RNA of Colossoma macropomum (tambaqui), 923 nucleotides long. RefSeq lists it as uncharacterized. The record is from RefSeq and is a predicted model, not a curated record. NCBI's taxonomy places the organism in Eukaryota, Metazoa, Chordata, Actinopteri, Characiformes, Serrasalmidae. The transcript has 3 exons.